This 1514-nucleotide ribosomal RNA is filed under the name Agrypnia deflata. Its description in RNAcentral is "SSU rRNA". It matches the Rfam family "Eukaryotic small subunit ribosomal RNA", at positions 57 to 1461 of the family's 1831-position model. Lineage: Eukaryota; Metazoa; Arthropoda; Insecta; Trichoptera; Phryganeidae. The record is from RNAcentral.
GUCUCAGUAAAAGCCGAAUUAAGGUGAAACCGCGAAUGGCUCAAUAUAUCAGUUUUGGUUCCUUAGAUCGUACACGGUUACUUGGAUAACUGUGGUAAUUCUAGAGCUAAUACAUGCAAACGAGGUUCUGACCGGUAACGGGAGGAAUGCUUUUAUUAGAUCAAAAACCAAUCGGCGGCGGGGUUCGCGCCCCGUCCGUCGCCAUUCGAGAUGACUCUAGAUAACUUUGAGCUGAUCGCACGGUCUAGCACCGGCGACGCAUCUUUCAAAUGUCUGCCUUAUCAACUGUCGAUGGUAGUUUAUGCGACUACCAUGGUUGUCACGGGUAACGGGGAAUCAGGGUUCGAUUCCGGAGAGGGAGCCUGAGAAACGGCUACCACAUCCACGGAAGGCAGCAGGCGCGCAAAUUACCCACUCCCGGCACGGGGAGGUAGUGACGAAAAAUAACGAUACGGGACUCGUCCGAGGCCUCGUGAUCGGAAUGAUUACACUUUAAAUCCUUUAACGAGGAUCCAUUGGAGGGCAAGUCUGGUGCCAGCAGCCGCGGUAAUUCCAGCUCCAAUAGCAUAUACUAAAGUUGUUGCGGUUAAAAAGCUCGUAGUUGAAAUUGUGUCCUGCGGUGUCGGUCUACCGAAUGCGGUACGACAGGCACGUCUGCGGGGCUUCUCGCCGGUGCGUCCACCGCCGGCGUGUGUCGGUCGGCCUCACGGUCGGCCGCGCACCGAGGCGGGCCGUCGCGGCUGUUUACUUUGAACAAAUUAGAGUGCUCAAAGCGGGCUAACACUUGCCUGAAUAUUGUACGCAUGGAAUAAUAGAAUAGGACCUCGGUUCUGUUUUGUUGGCUUUCUGAUACCAGAGGUAAUGAUUAAUAGGGACAACUGGGGGCAUUCGUAUUGCGACGUUAGAGGUGAAAUUCUUGGAUCGUCGCAAGACGGACUAAAGCGAAAGCAUUUGCCAAAGGUGUUUUCAUUAAUCAAGAACGAAAAGUUAGAGGUUCGAAGGCGAUUAGAUACCGCUGUAGUUCUAACCAUAAAUGAUGCCAGCCAGCGAUCCGCCGAAGUUUCAUAAUUUUAACCCGGUGGGCAGCUCCCGGGAAACCAAAGCUUUCGGGCUCCGGGGGGAGUAUGGUUGCAAAGCUGAAACUUAAAGGAAUUGACGGAAAGGCACCACCAGGAGUGGAGCUUGCGGCUUAAUUCGACUCAACACGGGAAAACUCACCAGGCCCGGACACUGGAAGGAUUGACGGAUUAACAGCUCUUUCUCGAUUCGGUGGGUGGUGGUGCAUGGCCGCUCUUAGUUGGUGGAGCGAUUUGUCAGGUUAAUUCCGGUAACGAACGUAACUCUAGCCUAUUAAAUAGACGUGCAACCGGUAUCACGAGGGUCCGCGUGCGCGUGUCCCGCGGCGUUCGCGUCGCGGUCGCGCGUUUCGCGGUCUUCACUACCGGCGUACAAUGAAAAUCUUCUUAGAGGGACCGGCGGUAUAUAUAGCCGCACGAGAUUGAGCAAUAGCAGGU